ACAACCAGCUAAUUGAAUCACAUUGAUUAACAUAACUAGCCACUUGAAUGCUGCUGAUCAACACAACCAGUCACUUGAAUUCACUUUCCAUAGAGAUCGAAGACUAUACAUACGAGAGAUCUUGACAAAAUAUGUGUCUCACUUAAGGGGUCAAAUCAUCCUAACAAGAUCUAGGAUUUCAAAUUCGGCAUCACAAAAUCGACACGGACAGAAAGAAACAAUGAAAUUUGGGCUUUGUGUUUGGUACCUUUUUUUUCUUUCCAGAUUUACGGUUUCUAACAUCCAAACCAGAUCUAGGGUUUCAAAUUCAACAUCACAAAAUUGACAUGGAUAGAAAGAAACCAUGAAAUUAGCGUUUUGUGUACCAUAACUCUUUUUUUAGAUUUAGGGUUUUUGACCGUACGAUUGAUGAGGACCCUUGUAUGGUCAAUCACAUCAUUAGGGUUUUGAAAAAAAUCCCGAGGUCUCGUGCUUGAUAUCAAGUUAAAAAUACAACAAUCAAGUGGAUAAGUGAUGAAGAAGAAGAGUAGGAAAUAUUCUAGGAAGAGAAAAAGCUUUAGAGAUAGAAGGUUAAAGAUUUUUAUCUAAUAAUAUUUAUUUAUAGUAUUAUGUUGCCCUUAUUGAAAAAUAAAAAGCUUUAGAGAUUGAAGGUUAAAGCUUUUUCUUAUUGAAAAAUAAAAAGCUUUAGAGUUAUGUUGCCCUUAUUGAAGGGAUACAAAAAAUAAGUCC
Molecule: long non-coding RNA, 729 nt
Filed under: Amborella trichopoda
Lineage: Eukaryota; Viridiplantae; Streptophyta; Magnoliopsida; Amborellales; Amborellaceae
Description: long non-coding RNA (ATRI_LNC000112)
Source: RNAcentral